UGGGGUUUCUUGUUUGGGUAACGAUAAUGUUCUAAGACCAACAGUCGUGAUGAUCGCACAAAUUCUCAAAUUUACUAAAAACCAUUCAACGGUCUACUUUAAAAUACCAAACUUUGAUGCACACGAAUUCUCUCUCAGUUUUAACAAUAAGAAAAUUUCAGGGUCUUAGGGAACCUGAAGUGUGUGCAGAGAUCCCAUUCCUCGGACAGUUGGGAAGGAGCCUGAGGGUCCCCCAAAUGGCUGUGGGGAGAGCAGGUGGCCCGCAGUGUGGACGUGCAGCUGCCUGGCCAGGAAUCUUUAAAAAAAAAAAAAAAAAGACAAACAUUAACUUAGGCUGAGUUCAAGAAACGUGCCAUGGGAGACAGCGCAAAGCAAGUCCGUUAACGUGAAACUGCAGAAGAGGCAAAGAUGCUCCCAGGGGCCGGCGGCGUGGGGAGGCCCAACAGCAAGGGGCGGACACAGCUUUCCGGGGUGUCGACCUGGGCAAGCAGAGCUGAUCAGUCAGUCGGACAGUAAAAACAGCUGCCGGCCCCCACAAGCCCCCUUCCCGUCCGCGGAUGAGCCUGUUCUGGACGUGUCACCCACGUGGACUCACACCCCGUGUGGCCUUCUGUGUCUGGGUCCCUCCCUGAGCAUCGUGGGCUCGGAGUCUGUCCCCUCGCUCCUGCUUGCGGCCCAGUGAUGCUCUGGCGCGUGGGGGACCGUGUUCUGAAAUGCAGCAAACAGACAAGUGCAGCCCAGGUGCCGCCUCGGGAAGGCCGCUCAGGGCCCACACCACCUCCCAGCACGGUCCCCUGCCUCCACGUUAUCCCAGCACUCUACCAGAGGGAUCUCCGACGCAGAGCAGAGUCGGCCGGAUCAGACAAUGACCAUCGUCCGCGAACCACCUGCACCAGCCACACACGGGUUGGCAUGGAAGGACGCACAGGGAGAAGCUGCGUGAUCGCGGACGCACACCAGGGCGAUGUGCCCACAGCCAAGGGACGCCAAGGAUGGCCAGCCACGCAGGAGCUGGGAGAGGCAGGAAGGACCCUCCCUGGAGUCUUCAGAGAGCCAACGGUCCAGCCAUACCUUGACCUAGGACUUUUGGGCCCCAGGACUUGGAGAGAAUACAUUGGUGUUCAAAGCCACCCAGUUUGUGGUAAUUUGCUAAGACCACAGAAAAGUGCAGGAGUGGGGUGCUGGUGGCUCCGGGAAUCACAUAGUGGGGGCCAGGGAUGCAGCCAGACACACACAGUGCCCAGCACAGCCCCCACCAGGCUGGCCACCCACCUUUUACCUGCGGCAUCGUCCACCUCUGCCCAUCCCUCACUCCAUCCUGUUUCUGGUGUGCUUCAAACCACACCACGGACACCACCUUCUGCCUCCUAAAUACGUCAGUGUGCAAACUGCUCAUCGGUCACUGGUUUACAGAUCUUUUUAUUUUUUUCAAAAGAUUUUAUUUAUUUGG
Molecule: non-coding RNA, 1450 nt
Organism: Leptonychotes weddellii (Weddell seal)
Lineage: Eukaryota; Metazoa; Chordata; Mammalia; Carnivora; Phocidae
Source: RefSeq, a predicted model, not a curated record